UAUAUAUAUAUAUACACACAUAUAUGUGUACAUAAUUGAAUACACUAUUGCUAUUAUUAUUAUUGUUUUCUGUUAGAUCAACUAAGGAAAAGAAAAGUUAGUAUUUUACCUUUACUUAUGCAUUUUCUGGUGCUCUUCCUUUAUUUAUGUUGAUCUGAAUUUCUGACCUACAUAAUUUUUUCCCUAUGAAGAACUUCUUUUGCAAGGCAGGUUUACUAAUGAAAAAAAAUCCCUUAAUUUUUAUUUUUCUGAGGAAAUCCUUAUUGCUCCUUUACUUUUGAAGAAUAACCUCACAAGGUGCAGAGCUUUAAGUUGGUGGGUUUUAUCUCUUAACACUUAAAAUAUUUUAUCCCACUCUCUUCUUGCUAUGCAGCAAGCUUGCUUGCUUCCUUGUUUCUCAGGAGAAGUCAGUUGUAGUUCUCUGCUCCUCUAUAGGUGAACUGUUCUUUUCCUCUGGUUUCUCCCAAGAUUUUUUUUCAGCUUUGAUUUUCUAAGUUUUUAUAUGAUAAAUGCCUAGAUGUACUUUUUUGGCAUUUAUUCUUCUUGGUAUUUUCUGAGAUUUCUGGAUCUGUAGUUUGGUGUCUGACAUUAAUUUAGGGAAUUUGUAAUUUUUGCGUCCAUAUUGCUUUAGCUCCUAUCUCUCCUUCUUCUCUUUCCAGCAUUAUCAUUAUGUAUAAGUUACAUCUAUUUAUAGUUAUGCCACAGUUCUUGCACAUUGUGUUCUAUUCUUAGCAUUUUAGUCAUAGUUUAAGUUGUUUUUUUUUUUUAAAUUCCUGGUCUGAUAAUUCCAACAUUCCUGCCAUAUCUGAAUAUUGCUCUGAUGAUUGUCAGGUCGCUUCAAACAGUUCUUUUGCCUUUCAGUGUUUCUUGUUAAUUUUUUUAUUACACCUUGUUGAAAGGUAGAUGUGUUGUGCCAGGUAAAAGAAACUUCUAUAAACAGGCUUAUAGUAAUAAAGUGGUAAGAAGGGAGUGGACAGGAAGUGAUGUAUAGUCCUACUAUUACAUCUCAGUCUUACGGUAAUCCCAUGCCUCUGGACUGCAGACUUUUCUCAGUCUCCCUACUCCCCACAUUAGGUGAGACAAAAUGACUAGAUGGGCUACAGUUGGGUAUUUCCCUACCCUUAGGUAGAUUAAGCUCUGAUAUAAUCCCAGCAGGUUAGGUUCUGGUUAAUUAGUUUCUUUUGAGGGUAGGCCUAAUUAAGAAGAAGAGAAUUCUCUGGUGUGUUUCAAAAUGUUUCCUAUUCCCCUUCCCUUGCCAGAGGCAUGAGGGGAUUUUUCUCCAGUAUUCACUGUUAGGAUCUGGUAGAAUUCCUGGAAAUAAAAGUUGUAAGAGUCUGAGGGUCCCCCUAGAGUUUUUAACUCUCAGACUUGUACAUUCUGAGCCUCCAGCUAUCCAUCAACUACUGUUCAGAUUUUUCUAACCCAGCACUGUUGCUAUGAAGGUUUCUACUAACGGAUUUCUACUCCAGUAAGCUGUGAUUCUCUGUAUGCACCUAUCUCUCCAAUUGUUGGGGCAGUAGAUUUGUCCUGAGACCCCACUUGUCUGAUGGAGCUAAGAAGAGUUUUUAAUGUUUUAGUUUGUUCAGCUUUUUAUCUUUUGCUAGGACUGAGUGAAGACUUCUAAACUCCUUAGGUGCUUGACCAGAAACCAGAAGUCUCUAACUUUAUAAACAUACAUACAUUUGGUUUGGUCUGUUUCUUCCCCCUUUGAAUUUCUUUAUUAAACCUGUCAAAUUUUGUCCAGGCUUCAUGAUUAACCUAAAAAUGCUACCUAAUAUCUGACACUUGAUCUCCCAACUUAGACAUAAUUUGUUUUUAUUUUUAAAUUUAUAUCUACUAUAUUUUAAGGUACUUAUUAAUUUUGACUCCUGUGGGAAGUGUACAUGAAGCUAAGCAUGUAUUUAGAUUAAGUGCUAAUUAGUCAGACUUCCCAGAAAAAGUAGGAUUUGAACUGGUUCUGAAAAAUGAGUCAUAUACUGACCAAAUGGUCUCUGACAAAUAAUUUGACAUUUUUGGUAUUUUGAGAACACUAUAUUCAAAAUGCACUUUUAAAUAAGCUUUCUCUUAUGUGCUUUAUAACUGGGGUUGACAAACUACAGCCAGUGGACCAAAUCCAGCCCCUGACUAUUUUUGGUCGAACUUGAAGCUGCAGCAGAAGAAGAUAUGGAAAAACUAAAAUCUUCCUCAAGCAAAUAUUAGAGUAAUUGUCAUUAUCUCACCAUGCUCUUUUCCUGGUUAUAAAUAUGCUAGAAAACAUUCUUACUGUAAUUUUAAUAAAGUAUUUCUCUAUGUUUUCUUCUGAUUAUUUUUAUUAUUUUAUAUGUUAUUUGACUAUGUAGUCAACUUAGAAUUUUUGUGCAUGUGUGUAAAAGUGACAUUGCAAGCUAAUUUUCUAUAUGAAUAAAAACUGUCUCCAUGCUGCUUAUUUGGUCAUUACAGGUACAGGAAAGUCAUUUUUUAAUGUUGAUCUUGUAUUACUGAGCCCUCUUAUUAAUUUCAAUGGUUUUUCAGUAGAUUCUUCUAAGUUUUUAAGUAGAUGGCCAUAUCAUCUAAAAUAAUGCUGCCUCUCUUGACUCAAUAUUGGUAAUUGCUUUUAUCUAGAAAAAUCAUGCAAUUAUUAUAGACCGUAGUGAAUUUUAUAAUUCCUUUACUGUUUUUAUAUUCCCAUUAUAUAUUAACAUUUAGAAUUUAACUUUAUUUUUUAGUCUCAGGUUAGUUUCACAAGGAGAUACAAGUGCCACAGACCCACUUUAUGGGAUUAGUGUCCACCAGCACAGGGGACACUGUGGCAGCCUUUGAGUGAAUUAGCUGAGUGGCACUUAGUUUGCAACACACCGAAUAUAGCAUCUGAUCACAGUUCAAGACAUUUGAGAGGGAAGAAACAAAGGGAGAUGGGGAGAAGAAUCUAAGUAAGAUGUUAGCAGUAGCACUCACUUUCAUAUUCACCAACUGAAGGCUAAGGAAAGCAGCUGG
RNAcentral lists this long non-coding RNA (2973 nucleotides) under Homo sapiens (human). RNAcentral describes it as "HSALNT0323098". Lineage: Eukaryota; Metazoa; Chordata; Mammalia; Primates; Hominidae. The record is from RNAcentral.